This 320-nucleotide ribosomal RNA is filed under the name uncultured Prevotella sp. RNAcentral's name for it is "bacterial SSU rRNA". It matches the Rfam family "Bacterial small subunit ribosomal RNA", at positions 28 to 339 of the family's 1533-position model. Lineage: Bacteria; Pseudomonadati; Bacteroidota; Bacteroidia; Bacteroidales; Prevotellaceae. The record is from RNAcentral.
GAUGAACGCUAGCUACAGGCUUAACACAUGCAAGUCGAGGGGCAUCAUUAUCGGAGCUUGCUUUGAUAGAUGGCGACCGGCGCACGGGUGAGUAACGCGUAUCCAACCUUCCCCUUAGUAGGGCACAGCCCGGCGAAAGUCGGAUUAAUUCCCUAUGUUGUUUGAUGCUGACAUCUGAGCAAUACCAAAGAUUUAUCGCUAUGGGAUGGGGAUGCGUCUGAUUAGGUAGUAGGCGGGGUAACGGCCCACCUAGCCGACGAUCAGUAGGGGUUCUGAGAGGAAGGUCCCCCACAUUGGUACUGAGACACGGACCAAACUCC